UACAGAGGGGGCCAGCGUUAUUCGGAAUUAUUGGGCGUAAAGGGCGCGUAGGCGGCUUUGCGUGUCUUUCGUGAAAUCCCUCGGCUCAACUGAGGACGUGCGGAAGAAACUGCAGGGCUGGAGUCCGGGAGAGGAGGGUGGAAUUCCCAGUGUAGCGGUGAAAUGCGCAGAUAUCAGGAAGAACACCCGUGGCGAAGGCGGCUCUCUGGGACGGUACUGACGCUGAGACGCGAAAGCGUGGGGAGCAAACAGG
Molecule: ribosomal RNA, 253 nt
Filed under: uncultured bacterium
Lineage: Bacteria
Description: partial 16S ribosomal RNA
Rfam family: Bacterial small subunit ribosomal RNA
Source: RNAcentral